RNAcentral lists this ribosomal RNA (440 nucleotides) under uncultured bacterium. RNAcentral describes it as "partial 16S ribosomal RNA". It matches the Rfam family "Bacterial small subunit ribosomal RNA", at positions 338 to 795 of the family's 1533-position model. The record is from RNAcentral.
CCUACGGGAGGCAGCAGUGGGGAAUAUUGCACAAUGGGGGAAACCCUGAUGCAGCGACGCCGCGUGAGUGAAGACGUACUUCUUUAUGUAAAACUCUAUCAGCAGGGAAGAAAAAGACGGUCCCUAGGUAAAACUCCCCGGUUAACUACGUGCCAGCAGCCGCGGUAUUACGUAGGGGGCAAGCGUUAUCCGGAUUUAUUGGGUGUAAAGGGAGGGUAGACGGCGAAGAAAGUCUGAAGGGAAAGCCCGCGGCUUAACCGCGGAACUGCUUUGGAAACUUUUUUGCUGGAGUACCGGAGAGGUAAGCGGAAUUCCUAGUGUAGCGGUGAAAUGCGUAGAUAUUAGGAGGAACACCAGUGGCGAAGGCGGCUUACUGGACGGUAACUGACGUUGAGGCUCGAAAGCGUGGGGAGCAAACAGGAUUAGAUACCCCUGUAGUC